GAUCCUGGCUCAGGAUGAACGCUAGCGACAGGCUUAACACAUGCAAGUCGAGGAGCGGCAUGAUUUGUAGCAAUACAGAUUGAUGGCGACCGGCGCACGGGUGAGUAACGCGUAUGCAACUUACCUAUCAGAGGGGGAUAGCCCGGCGAAAGUCGGAUUAAUACCCCAUAAAACAGGGGUCCCGCAUGGGAAUAUUUGUUAAAGAUUCAUCGCUGAUAGAUAGGCAUGCGUU
Molecule: ribosomal RNA, 232 nt
Filed under: uncultured bacterium
Lineage: Bacteria
Description: partial 16S ribosomal RNA
Rfam family: Bacterial small subunit ribosomal RNA
Source: RNAcentral